Molecule: unclassified non-coding RNA, 309 nt
Filed under: Hevea brasiliensis (rubber tree)
Lineage: Eukaryota; Viridiplantae; Streptophyta; Magnoliopsida; Malpighiales; Euphorbiaceae
Source: RNAcentral
AAAGAAUGAUGGAAAGAUGAGGAAUACAUUCCUAGUGGCUAAUCGUUGGAACUACGCACAUAUUGUCCGAAAUCGGCCUUAAAGGCCGUGAAUAGCACUGUCGCUAAUCUGCAUAUUAGGUGAAUAUCAAGUGGUGGUCCUAGUUAGGACAUGAACCAAAAGCUCAGGAGUUCAACGCCAUCUAUUUUAGGCCAAACGUAGGAAUUGGAAGUCUUUGAGAAUGCUGUAACUCUCUCUCCUCUCAUUUGGUGUUGCUAGGGAUGUGCUAUCAGUUGGUUUGGAUUUGAACCGUAAAAACUAAAAACUGAA